CCCUUAGAUGUUCUGGGCAGCACGCGCGCUACAAUGGUCUUCGCAAACGGAUGCAUUCUCGAAGGAGAAUGCCAAUCUUGGAAUCUAUGCCUUGGUCGGGACAGUUGCUUGCAAUUUUUCGACUCGAACCAGGAAUUCCUUGUAAUCGUGAUUCAUCACAUCACGAUGAAUACGUCCCUGCCCUUUGUACACACCGCCCGUCGCUCCUACCGAUCGAAGAGUUAGGUGAAUUGUUUUGAUCGAUAAGAUUUAACUAUGGUCAACUCUCGUUGUGAAAUUCUGUGAAUCUGACUGUUUAGAGGAAGGAAAAGUCGUAACA
RNAcentral lists this ribosomal RNA (319 nucleotides) under uncultured eukaryote. Its description in RNAcentral is "partial 18S ribosomal RNA". It matches the Rfam family "Eukaryotic small subunit ribosomal RNA", at positions 1470 to 1796 of the family's 1831-position model. The record is from RNAcentral.